GACAUAGGGGGCAAGCGUUGUCCGGAAUUACUGGGCGUAAAGGGAGCGUAGGCGGGAAAUUAAGUUAAGUGUGAAAGCCUUGGGCUUAACCCAAGAAAUGCACUUGAUACUGGUUUUCUAGAGUGUAGGAGAGGUAAGUGGAAUUCCUAGUGUAGCGGUAAAAUGCGUAGAGAUUAGGAGGAACAUCAGAGGCGAAGGCGGCUUACUGGACUAUAACUGACGCUGAGGCUCGAAAGCGUGGGGAGCAAACAGG
This 253-nucleotide ribosomal RNA is filed under the name uncultured bacterium. Its description in RNAcentral is "partial 16S ribosomal RNA". It matches the Rfam family "Bacterial small subunit ribosomal RNA", at positions 524 to 776 of the family's 1533-position model. The record is from RNAcentral.